UACAGAGGGUGCAAGCGUUGUCCGGAAUCACUGGGCGUAAAGGGUGCGUAGGCGGCCUGAUAAGUCGGGGGUGAAAUUCUGCGGCUUAACCGCAGGACGGCCUUCGAGACUGUCGGGCUUGAGCACGGUAGAGGCUGGUGGAAUUCCCGGUGUAGCGGUGGAAUGCGUAGAGAUCGGGAAGAACAUCGGUGGCGAAGGCGGCCAGCUGGGCCGUUGCUGACGCUGAGGCGCGACAGCGUGGGGAGCAAACAGG
This 253-nucleotide ribosomal RNA is filed under the name uncultured bacterium. RNAcentral's name for it is "partial 16S ribosomal RNA". It matches the Rfam family "Bacterial small subunit ribosomal RNA", at positions 524 to 776 of the family's 1533-position model. The record is from RNAcentral.